AGUCAGAAAUCAAAGUAAAAUGCAAUGUGGAAAGAGAAUGAGUGGUUACAGAGCGCUCUCUGCUAGGCUCUUCCACAUGUUACCUCAUUCUUCUCUCUAUAACCCACUCAAGAGGUAGACAUUUACUCCUUUUCACAGAUGAAAAAUGGAGGCUCAGAGAGGCCAUACAACUUAACAUAGGUCACACAGCUAGUAAAUGCUACCUCUUCCAGACCUGUCUUCUCAGCUUGACUCUUCUACUUUACUUGGUGAUACACCAAUCUAUCUGGCAAUGUGGACACUUAGCAACCACACAAUUGAAAUGAUGCUGAUAACAACCUUCUCAAUUAGGACUGAAGAAGUGUGUCUAACAUUCUGGAAAACACACCACCCAACCCCCCAAGGUGCCUGAGUUUAUGUAAAAAGAGAGAUUGUCUUCGCUGUCAAGGUUUCCUGCCUCUCACUUCACUCCCACAGCUAUGUGUGUGAAUAUUCAGAAGCAAGGUUGGAGCUGAUUUGGAGUGAUGACUCUAAAGAAGAGAUAAGUUGCGUGGUGAAAACAAACAAAAGGAGAAAUUAUUGAAGAAUCCUUUCCUCAAAAAACUCCAAGUAGGACUUGGGCUUGGUGAUCUGUUUAUAAAGCCUCUUCAGAUCUUCAUCUGGGAGCAUUUUAUGGAGCAGGUGGAUAUCCUACUGCUUGGAGCUGUGAGCUCGCUUUGGAGACCAUCUUCCCCUUGGAAUAUGGCAGAUGACUGAGAAAUGAGGUGAACCCUGAUAGUGUGGACCACAGAUAGCUUAACUCUUUGAAGAUAUGCCUAUUUUGACUCCACCUAUAAGAGAGCACUACUCUGCCUGCUAAGACAGAAUGGAACUCUGCUGAGAUGGAACAUGACAGCCACUCAUAACACCACACAUCCUUUUCCAAGCAGCUUGUUAUACAAAUGAAACAUUGUUCUCACAUGGCAAAUUUACAAAGGCAGAAGAUACGAUGAAUUUGGAUAGUGUGAUGGAUCAUAAAGAGACAGAGUCUUCUUCCCUUCCCCUUGAACUGAGUUGAUCCUGACAUAUUUUGGCAGUAGAAUAUGGUAGAAGUGAUGUUGUGUAACGACACUCCUUGGAACCCUGUGAGAAGCCCAAGUAAAAUGAAGAAGCCACGUGAAAGAGAACCCAGGUACUCCAGUCAACAGCCCCAGCUGAGCUUCCAGCAACAUGUGAGUUAGCCAUCUUGGACUCUAGUCUUGUCUGGCUUCUGGAGGAAUGUGGCUCUAGCUGACAGCACUGGAGCAGAAGAACUGUCUAGCUGAGUCUAGUUAACUCACAGCAUCUUUAGGGAUAAAAUAAUGAUUAUGGUUGUUCUAUACCACUAAGUUUUGGAGUGGUUUGUUAUGUACCAAAACCCAUACAGACAUUCAUACUCUCUCCAAGUUUGCUUUGAGUCCAAUAGCACUUACUUGUAAGAUGUCUGGCUGGGGGAGAUUUAUGUUUUUGAAAUAGUUUUUCUUAAAUGUAAUUGUUUUGAGUGGAUAAAAAUCAAAGUUGGGGCAAAAGCACCAGACAUACUUAAAUCACUGGAAAAGGGAUGAAGCUAAGAGUUGUGAAGAUAAUGAUUGGUGUUGAGGAAGAGAUGUCUUGUGUGGGGGAGGGCCACAUCGAUGUCAUCUGGUCACUGUAGCAUGCCAGUACCCCCUAGGGGAAGCUCUUGGAUUUCAAAACUCUGCCCAGACCUUCUGAGCUGCACAAGUAAGCCUUAAUUCUUUUAUUAUUUUCAUAUUGAAUUAGAAGCUCUUUUACAUAAAUAUAAUUUUCUUCAGCAUCUGUUGAUAUUUUUGGACCAUGAAAUUUAGCAGGAAAUUAAAAGCAUAAAGACUUGCAUAGCAUAAUGCUGAGUUAUGCAAGUUUGAAAUAAAACUUUAUCUAAUUCUGUCA
Molecule: non-coding RNA, 1905 nt
Organism: Equus caballus (horse)
Lineage: Eukaryota; Metazoa; Chordata; Mammalia; Perissodactyla; Equidae
Source: RefSeq, a predicted model, not a curated record